Molecule: ribosomal RNA, 530 nt
Filed under: uncultured bacterium
Lineage: Bacteria
Description: partial 16S ribosomal RNA
Rfam family: Bacterial small subunit ribosomal RNA
Source: RNAcentral
UGGGAAUUUUGGACAAUGGGCGAAAGCCUGAUCCAGCAAUGCCGCGUGUGUGAAGAAGGCCUUCGGGUUGUAAAGCACUUUUGUCCGGAAAGAAAUCCUUGGCUCUAAUACAGUCGGGGGAUGACGGUACCGGAAGAAUAAGCACCGGCUAACUACGUGCCAGCAGCCGCGGUAAUACGUAGGGUGCAAGCGUUAAUCGGAAUUACUGGGCGUAAAAGCGUGCGCAGGCGGUUUGCUAAGACCGGAUGUGAAAUCCCCGGGCUCAAACCUGGGAACUGCAUUGGUGACUGGCAGGCUAGAGUAUGGCAGAGGGGGGUAGAAUUCCACGUGUAGCAAGUGAAAUGCGUAGAGAUGUGGAGGAAUACCGAUGGCGAAGGCAGCCCCCUGGGCCAAAUACCGACGCUCAUGCACGAAAAGCGUGGGGGAGCAAAACAGGAUUAGAUACCCCUGGUAGUCCACGCCCCUAAAACGAUGUCAACUAGUUGUUGGGGAUUCAUUUCCUUAGUAACGUAGCUAACGCGUGAAGUUGA